This 75-nucleotide transfer RNA is filed under the name Mycoplasmataceae bacterium. RNAcentral describes it as "tRNA-Asn". It matches the Rfam family "tRNA". Rfam says of the family: Transfer RNA (tRNA) molecules are approximately 80 nucleotides in length. The record is from RNAcentral. Lineage: Bacteria; Bacillati; Mycoplasmatota; Mollicutes; Mycoplasmatales; Mycoplasmataceae. RNAcentral also lists the same sequence under 1 other name.
GCCUAGUUAGCUCAGAGGCAGAGCGUUCGGCUGUUAACCGAUUGGUCGUAGGUUCGAUUCCUACACUAGGCGCCA